AAACAAUGGGAGCAAGCAAAGGGUAGAGUGAGUUUCCCUGAGACAUCAUUAACUCAACAAAAUGUUUUGAGUGUGUUUCAUGUGCCAGGUAUCCUAAGAACUAGGGAUGGAGCAUGAAUAAGACUUUGUUCCUGUUCUCAUGGUAUUGACAAUUUAGCAGAGGCCAGGAGGAAUCCAUCUGAAAAAAAAACGUUCCGUCAGGCCUGGAUCAGAGAUUCUAGCCCUGAACAGAAGCCGCACUCAGUAGAGUAAGUGAACAUUCACAGAGGACUUACUAUAUGUUAGACACCAUGCUAAUCAUGGUGUACAGCAUCCAUGUUCCCUUAAAAACCCCAGAUCCGCUUCUUCUGUGAGAAAACACCAAAUGGCGGAUGACGCCGGUGCAGCGGGGGGGCCCGGGGGCCCUGGUGGCCCUGGGAUGGGGAACCGCGGUGGCUUCCGUGGAGGUUUCGGCAGUGGCAUCCCGGGCCGGGGUCGCGGCCGUGGACCGGGCCGGGGCCAAGGCCGCGGAGCUCGCGGAGGCAAGGCCGAGGAUACGGAGUGGAUUCCCAUCACCAAUCUGGGGUGCUUGGUCAAGGACAUGAAGAUCAAGUCCCUGGAGGAGAUCUAUCUCUUCUCCCUGCCCAUUAAGGAAUCAGAGAUCAUUGACUUUUUUCUGGGGGCUUCUCUCAAGGAGGAGGUUUUGAAGAUUAUGCCAGUGCAAAAGCAGACCCGUGCCGGCCAGCACACCAGGUUCAAGGCCUUUGUUGCUGUCGGGGACUACAAUGGCCACGUCGGUCUGGGUGUUAAGUGCUCCAAGGAGGUGGCCACCGCCGUCCGUGGGGCCAUCAUCCUGGCCAAGCUCUCCAUUGUCCCCGUGCGCAGAGGCUACUGGGGGAACAAGAUCGGCAAGCCCCACACCGUCCCUUGCAAGGUGACAGGCCGCUGCGGCUCUGUGCUGGUGCACCUCAUCCCUGCACCCAGGGGCACUGGCAUCGUCUCCGCACCUGUGCCCAAGAAGCUGCUCAUGAUGGCUGAUAUCGAUGACUACUACACCUCAGCCCGGGGCUGCACUGCCACCCUGGGCAACUUUGCCAAGGCCACCUUUGAUGCCAUUUCUAAGACCUACAGCUACCUGACCCUCGACCUCUGGAAGGAGACUGUAUUUACCAAGUCUCCCUAUCAGGAAUUCACUGACCACCUCGUCAAGACCCGCACCAGAGUCUCCGUGCAGCGGACCCAGGCUCCAGCUGUGGCUACAACAUAGGGUUUUUACACAAGAAAAAUAAAGUGAAUUAAGCGUGGAAAAAAAAAAAA
RNA transcript from Nomascus leucogenys (northern white-cheeked gibbon), 1296 nucleotides. It is a transcript of the gene named 40S ribosomal protein S2 pseudogene, with no coding region annotated. Lineage: Eukaryota; Metazoa; Chordata; Mammalia; Primates; Hylobatidae. The transcript has a single exon. The record is from RefSeq and is a predicted model, not a curated record.